RNAcentral lists this ribosomal RNA (286 nucleotides) under uncultured Thermanaerovibrio sp. Its description in RNAcentral is "partial 16S ribosomal RNA". It matches the Rfam family "Bacterial small subunit ribosomal RNA", at positions 1101 to 1383 of the family's 1533-position model. Lineage: Bacteria; Thermotogati; Synergistota; Synergistia; Synergistales; Synergistaceae. The record is from RNAcentral.
AACCCUACGCUGAGUUACCAGCACGUAAAGGUGGGGACUCUCAGUGGACUGCCGGCGACAAGCCGGAGGAGGUGGGGACGACGUCAAGUCAUCAUGGCCCUCAUGUCCAGGGCGACACACGUGCUACAAUGGCCGGCACAACGGGAAGCGACGGCGCGAGUCGUAGCGGAUCCCUCAAAGCCGGUCCCAGUUCGGAUUGCAGUCUGCAACUCGACUGCAUGAAGUUGGAAUCGCUAGUAAUCGCGGACUCAGCCAAAGCCGACGGUGAAUACGUUCCCGGGCCUUG